GAACGAACGCUGGCGGCAGGCUUAACACAUGCAAGUCGAACGCCCCGCAAGGGGAGUGGCAGACGGGUGAGUAACGCGUGGGAACAUACCCUUUUCUACGGAAUAGCUCUGGGAAACUGGAAUUAAUACCGUAUACGCCCUACGGGGGAAAGAUUUAUCGGGGAAGGAUUGGCCCGCGUUGGAUUAGCUAGUUGGUGGGGUAAAGGCCUACCAAGGCGACGAUCCAUAGCUGGUCUGAGAGGAUGAUCAGCCACAUUGGGACUGAGACACGGCCCAAACUCCUACGGGAGGCAGCAGUGGGGAAUAUUGGACAAUGGGCGCAAGCCUGAUCCAGCCAUGCCGCGUGAGUGAUGAAGGCCUUAGGGUUGUAAAGCUCUUUCACCGAUGAAGAUAAUGACGGUAGUCGGAGAAGAAGCCCCGGCUAACUUC
This 429-nucleotide ribosomal RNA is filed under the name Rhizobium sp. Its description in RNAcentral is "bacterial SSU rRNA". It matches the Rfam family "Bacterial small subunit ribosomal RNA", at positions 27 to 504 of the family's 1533-position model. The record is from RNAcentral. Lineage: Bacteria; Pseudomonadati; Pseudomonadota; Alphaproteobacteria; Hyphomicrobiales; Rhizobiaceae.